GGUCUAUGGCUCCCCGUGGGUCACCUUCCUGGCUGGGGAUGGAACUGGGGCUCCAGAGGCUGUGGAUGGCUUCACAGUGUGGUGCUUAACCCCUUCCCCACCAGGGUGGCCCUUAGUCAUGCUUUUAUGUCAGCUUCAGGCAGCAGGCUUAACUGCUGUACUUACCAGAGAAAAUUCCUGGAGAUCUAGAACAACUGGUGAGGAGAGGAUGCCUCGGCAGUGCCUGCAGCAUUGUUCAGGGUGGUCCCCAGGAAAGGGGGCAGUUCCAGGUUUCCUGGCCCACCCAAGGGAGGGUGGAGCUGAGCGGAGAAAAGAAGCUGCAGAGGAGACUGAGGAAGGAAGAAGGAUGGAGCCAGAAGGAGACCUGGAGGAGGCACAUGGAGCCUAGAGACACGUGAAGAAACUGUGCUUGUCUUUUGGUCGUGGACGGGGUGACACAGAUGUGGGUGAGACCCGUAGGGAGGUGACAAUGGCAGCUUUUAUCUUGAUUUUGAUUUUGCUCUUUUCCUUCCGGGCUUGUCUGGUUGUUUCUGACCCUUUUCUGUGGGUCCCCCAGGAAGAUGCUUUAGACUUGUGGCAGGCUUUGGGGCCUUACUCUGGGCCAAUCCCAUUUGAAUGGAGUUUUACCCACGAGGGAACAGGUAACUUUGGGUGCUUGAUUUAGAAACCAGAUUCUUUGCCUUUCCUGUAUUGUUUCCUAAUUGUAUUAAAGUUCC
Molecule: long non-coding RNA, 716 nt
Organism: Talpa occidentalis (Iberian mole)
Lineage: Eukaryota; Metazoa; Chordata; Mammalia; Eulipotyphla; Talpidae
Exons: 3
Source: RefSeq, a predicted model, not a curated record